RNAcentral lists this RNase P RNA (375 nucleotides) under Bifidobacterium sp. RNAcentral describes it as "RNase P RNA component class A". It matches the Rfam family "Bacterial RNase P class A". From Rfam's summary of the family: Ribonuclease P (RNase P) is a ubiquitous endoribonuclease, found in archaea, bacteria and eukarya as well as chloroplasts and mitochondria. Its best characterised activity is the generation of mature 5'-ends of tRNAs by cleaving the 5'-leader elements of precursor-tRNAs. Lineage: Bacteria; Bacillati; Actinomycetota; Actinomycetes; Bifidobacteriales; Bifidobacteriaceae. The record is from RNAcentral.
UGAGACCUCUUGAUGGCCGCGGCCGUGAUCUUCAUUGGGAUCGGCUGAGGAACUUCCGGGCUCCAUAGAGCACGAUGGCGGAUAACGUCCGCCCAGGGUGACCUGAGAGAUAGCGCAACAGAGAACAGACCGCCCGUCCUCGACGGGUAAGGGUGAAACGGCGGUGUAAGAGACCACCGGGCCUCUGGUAACAGUAGGUCGCAUGGCAAGCCUCAUCGGGAGCAAGGCCAAGCAGAUGGCGGUAAGGGCUGCUCGCCCGUGUCAUCGGGUAGGCUGCUAGAGCCUGGCGGCAACGUCAGGUCGAGAUGGAUGGCCAUCCGUGCCGUGCGUUCGCGCACGGCACGACAGAACCCGGGGUAUAUGAGGUCUCAUUUU